RNAcentral lists this ribosomal RNA (447 nucleotides) under uncultured bacterium. RNAcentral describes it as "partial 16S ribosomal RNA". It matches the Rfam family "Bacterial small subunit ribosomal RNA", at positions 29 to 523 of the family's 1533-position model. The record is from RNAcentral.
AACGAACGCUGGCGGCAGGCUUAACACAUGCAAGUCGAACGCCCCGCAAGGGGAGUGGCGCACGGGUGAGUAACGCGUGGGAAUAUGCCCUUCGGUUCGGAAUAACACAGGGAAACUUGUGCUAAUACCGGAUACGAUCUACGGAUGAAAGAUUUAUCGCCGAGGGAGUAGCCCGCGUAGGAUUAGCUAGUUGGUGAGGUAAUGGCUCACCAAGGCGACGAGCCUUAGCUGGUCUGAGAGGAUGAUCAGCCACACUGGGACUGAGACACGGCCCAGACUCAUACGGGAGGCAGCAGUGGGGAAUAUUGGACAAUGGGCGAACGCCUGAUCCAGCCAUGCCGCGUGAGUGAUGAAGGCCUUAGGGUUGUAAAGCUCUUUCGCCAGGGAAGGUAAUGACGGUACCUGGAAAAGAAGCCUCGGCUAACUCCGUGCCAGCCGCCGCGGUAA